UACAGAGGGUGCAAGCGUUAAUCGGAGUUACUGGGCGUAAAGGGCGCGUAGGCGGCCGUUUAAGUUAGAUGUGAAAUCCCUGGGCUUAACCUAGGAACUGCAUUUAAGACUGGACGGCUGGAGUACAGUAGAGGGCAGUGGAAUUUCCGGGUGUAGUGGUGAAAUGCGUAGAGAUCCGGAGGAACACCAGUGGCGAAGGCGACACGCUGGGCCGUACCUGACGCUAAAACGCGACAGCAUGGGGAGCGAACGGG
RNAcentral lists this ribosomal RNA (254 nucleotides) under uncultured prokaryote. RNAcentral's name for it is "partial 16S ribosomal RNA". It matches the Rfam family "Bacterial small subunit ribosomal RNA", at positions 524 to 776 of the family's 1533-position model. The record is from RNAcentral.